CCUACGGGAGGCAGCAGUGAGGAAUAUUGGUCAAUGGGCUUACGCCUGAACCAGCCAAGUCGCGUGAGGGAAGACUGCCCUAUGGGUUGUAAACCUCUUUUGUCAGGGAGCAACGCCGGCUACGUGUAGCCGGACUGAGAGAACCUGAAGAAAAAGCAUCGGCUAACUCCGUGCCAGCAGCCGCGGUAAUACGGAGGAUGCGAGCGUUAUCCGGAUUUUUUGGGUUUAAAGGGUGCGUAGGCGGAAUGCCAAGUCAGCGGUAAAAUCGCGGGGCUCAACCUCGCUCCGCCGUUGAAACUGGCGUUCUUGAGUGGGCGAGAAGUAUGCGGAAUGCGUGGUGUAGCGGUGAAAUGCAUAGAUAUCACGCAGAACUCCGAUUGCGAAGGCAGCAUACCGGCGCCCAACUGACGCUGAGGCACGAAAGCGUGGGUAUCGAACAGGAUUAGAUACCCCAGUAGUC
This 460-nucleotide ribosomal RNA is filed under the name uncultured bacterium. RNAcentral's name for it is "partial 16S ribosomal RNA". It matches the Rfam family "Bacterial small subunit ribosomal RNA", at positions 338 to 795 of the family's 1533-position model. The record is from RNAcentral.